UACAGAGGUCCCAAGCGUUGUUCGGAUUCACUGGGCGUAAAGGGUGCGUAGGUGGUCAGAUAAGUUUGAUGUGAAAUCUCCGGGCUUAACCCGGAAAAUGCAUUGAAUACUAUUUGGCUGGAGGGUUGGAGGGGGGACUGGAAUACUUGGUGUAGCAGUGAAAUGCGUAGAUAUCAAGUGGAACACCAGUGGCGAAGGCGGCAUCCUGGACCAACACUGACGCUGAGGAGCGAAAGCCAGGGGAGCAAACGGG
Molecule: ribosomal RNA, 253 nt
Filed under: uncultured bacterium
Lineage: Bacteria
Description: partial 16S ribosomal RNA
Rfam family: Bacterial small subunit ribosomal RNA
Source: RNAcentral